This 83-nucleotide transfer RNA is filed under the name Canis lupus familiaris (dog). It matches the Rfam family "tRNA". From Rfam's summary of the family: Transfer RNA (tRNA) molecules are approximately 80 nucleotides in length. Their secondary structure includes four short double-helical elements and three loops (D, anti-codon, and T loops). The record is from Rfam by way of RNAcentral. Lineage: Eukaryota; Metazoa; Chordata; Mammalia; Carnivora; Canidae. RNAcentral also lists the same sequence under 1 other name.
ACCUGGGUGGCUCAGUGGUUGAGCAUCUGUCUUUGGCUCAGUUCAUGAUCCUGGGGUCCUGGGAUCGAGUCCCACAUCAGGUU